GACGAACGCUGGCGGCGUGCUUAACACAUGCAAGUCGAGCGGUAAGGCCCUUUCGGGGGUACACGAGCGGCGAACGGGUGAGUAACACGUGGGUGACCUGCCCUCAGCUCUGGGAUAAGCCCGGGAAACUGGGUCUAAUACUGGAUAUGACUCCACGGUGCAUGCCGUGGGGUGGAAAGCCUUGUGCGGCUGAGGAUGGGCCCGCGGCCUAUCAGCUUGUUGGUGGGGUGAUGGCCUACCAAGGCGACGACGGGUAGCCGGCCUGAGAGGGCGACCGGCCACACUGGGACUGAGACACGGCCCAGACUCCUACGGGAGGCAGCAGUGGGGAAUCUUGCGCAAUGGGCGAAAGCCUGACGCAGCGACGCCGCGUGAGGA
This 378-nucleotide ribosomal RNA is filed under the name uncultured bacterium. Its description in RNAcentral is "bacterial SSU rRNA". It matches the Rfam family "Bacterial small subunit ribosomal RNA", at positions 28 to 407 of the family's 1533-position model. The record is from RNAcentral.